UUAACACAUGCAAGUCGAACGAAGCACUUUAUUUGAUUUCUUCGGAAUGAAGAUUUUGUGACUGAGUGGCGGACGGGUGAGUAACGCGUGGGUAACCUGCCUCAUACAGGGGGAUAACAGUUGGAAACGACUGCUAAUACCGCAUAAGCGCACAGGGUCGCAUGGCCUGGUGUGAAAAACUCCGGUGGUAUGAGAUGGACCCGCGUCUGAUUAGCCAGUUGGUGGGGUAACGGCUCACCAAGGCGACGACGGGUAGCCGGCCUGAGAGGGCGACCGGCCACACUGGGACUGAGACACGGCCCAGACUCCUACGGGAGGCAGCAGUGGGGAAUAUUGCACAAUGGGCGCAAGCCUGAUGCAGCGACGCCGCGUGAGGGAUGACGGCCUUCGGGUUGUAAACCUCUGUUAGCAGGGAAGAAGAGAGAUUGACGGUACCUGCAGAGAAAGCGCCGGCUAACUACGUGCCAGCAGCCGCGGUAAUACGUAGGGCGCGAGCGUUGUCCGGAAUUAUUGGGCGUAAAGAGCUUGUAGGCGGUUUGUCGCGUCUGCUGUGAAAGGCCGGAGCUUAACUCCGUGUAUUGCAGUGGGUACGGGCAGACUAGAGUGCAGUAGGGGAGACUGGAAUUCCUGGUGUAGCGGUGGAAUGCGCAGAUAUCAGGAGGAACACCGAUGGCGAAGGCAGGUCUCUGGGCUGUAACUGACGCUGAGAAGCGAAAGCAUGGGGAGCGAACAGGAUUAGAUACCCUGGUAGUCCAUGCCGUAAACGUUGGGCACUAGGUGUGGGGGACAUUCCACGUUUUCCGCGCCGUAGCUAACGCAUUAAGUGCCCCGCCUGGGGAGUACGGCCGCAAGGCUAAAACUCAAAGAAAUUGACGGGGGCCCGCACAAGCGGCGGAGCAUGCGGAUUAAUUCGAUGCAACGCGAAGAACCUUACCAAGGCUUGACAUAUACUGGACCGCAUCAGAGAUGGUGUUUCCCUUCGGGGCUGGUAUACAGGUGGUGCAUGGUUGUCGUCAGCUCGUGUCGUGAGAUGUUGGGUUAAGUCCCGCAACGAGCGCAACCCUCGUUCUAUGUUGCCAGCACGUUAUGGUGGGGACUCAUAGGAGACUGCCGGGGUCAACUCGGAGGAAGGUGGGGAUGACGUCAAAUCAUCAUGCCCCUUAUGUCUUGGGCUUCACGCAUGCUACAAUGGCCGGUACAGAGGGUUGCGAUACUGUGAGGUGGAGCUAAUCCCUAAAAGCCGGUCUCAGUUCGGAUUGGGGUCUGCAACUCGACCCCAUGAAGUCGGAGUCGCUAGUAAUCGCAGAUCAGCAACGCUGCGGUGAAUACGUUCCCGGGCCUUGUACACACCGCCCGUCAAGUCACGAAAGUUGGUAACACCCAAAGCCGGUGGCCUAACCCUUUUGGGAGGGAGCCGUCUAAGGUGGGAUUGGCGAUUGGGACUAAGUCG
This 1450-nucleotide ribosomal RNA is filed under the name uncultured organism. RNAcentral describes it as "SSU rRNA". It matches the Rfam family "Bacterial small subunit ribosomal RNA". The record is from RNAcentral.